This is a long non-coding RNA of Meriones unguiculatus (Mongolian gerbil), 357 nucleotides long. RefSeq lists it as uncharacterized. Lineage: Eukaryota; Metazoa; Chordata; Mammalia; Rodentia; Muridae. The transcript is spliced from 3 exons. The record is from RefSeq and is a predicted model, not a curated record.
GGAGAUCAGAGUCCCACUGUUCAGCGAGGCGUCCCAAGAAUUCGCAGCCACCCUCUUCAUCCAGGAAAUUUCAUCUGGCCAGUCAGAUGAUGCUGGAUAGUGACAAUACAGUCAGCCCACUGAGUUCCCGGCUUCCACAUUCUCAUGCUCAGCCAAGCAGCUUUUAAGAGAAUUGCCUCGAUACCGAACACACACAGACCACUUUCUUAUCCUCACUCUGCAAAGAGCUCGGCGCCAACACCCCUUACCUGGCAUGCAAGUGCCCCUUACCUGGCAUGCACCCUGGCAGUUUGGGUUACACAGAUCAACAGAUGCCAAGUAGCCAUCAGAAACCCAAUCACGGAUAAAACAUUUAUU